GGUGAUGAUUAGCGGCGGACUGGUGAGUAACGCUGGGGUGACCUACCUUGAGGAUGGGGAUAGCCGUUAGAAAUAGCGGGUAAUACCGAAUAAUGUUAUUGAGUUAUGAUUUGAUAAAGAAAGGGGCUUUGUGCCCCGCCUUAAGAUGGGCCCGCGUCCCAUUAGCUAGUUGGAGAGGUAAGAGCUUACCAAGGCGAUGAUGGGUAGCCGGCCUGAGAGGGUGAACGGCCACACUGGGACUGAGAUACGGCCCAGACUCCUACGGGAGGCAGCAGCUAAGAAUAUUCCGCAAUGGACGAAAGUCUGACGGAGCGACGCCGCGUGAACGAGGAAGGCCGAAAGGUUGUAAAGUUCUUUUGCGGAUGAAGAAUAAGCUUAGGAGGGAAUGCCUGAGUGAUGACGUUAGUCCGUGCAAUAAGCCCCGGCUAAAUUACGUG
RNAcentral lists this ribosomal RNA (437 nucleotides) under uncultured bacterium. RNAcentral describes it as "bacterial SSU rRNA". It matches the Rfam family "Bacterial small subunit ribosomal RNA", at positions 84 to 507 of the family's 1533-position model. The record is from RNAcentral.